GUAGGUGGCAAGCGUUGUCCGGAAUUAUUGGGCGUAAAGCGCGCGCAGGCGGUCCUUUAAGUCUGAUGUGAAAGCCCACGGCUCAACCGUGGAGGGUCAUUGGAAACUGGGGGACUUGAGUACAGAAGAGGAAAGCGGAAUUCCAAGUGUAGCGGUGAAAUGCGUAGAGAUUUGGAGGAACACCAGUGGCGAAGGCGGCUUCCUGGUCUGUAACUGACGCUGAGGCGCGAAAGCGUGGGGAGCAAACAGGGAUUAGAUACCCUGGUAGUCCACGCCGUAAACGAUGAGUGCUAAGUGUUAGGGGGGGUUUCCCGCCCCCUUAGUGCUGCAGCUAACGCAUUAAGCACUCCCGCCUGGGGGAGUACGGCCCGCAAGGCUG
This 379-nucleotide ribosomal RNA is filed under the name uncultured organism. Its description in RNAcentral is "partial 16S ribosomal RNA". It matches the Rfam family "Bacterial small subunit ribosomal RNA", at positions 527 to 896 of the family's 1533-position model. The record is from RNAcentral.